AGAGAGGCCGCCUCCAGGGGGCAGUGUUUGGCUGCUCUACUGAUUAGCUGUCUAAUCUUGCGCACGCUACUUAACUCCAAACUUCCAUUUCCCUUCUGAAGGGUUAGUCGUUGAAUCUGUUGGGUUCGGAUGUUAUGAGGAUUAAAGGAAAUGAUGUAUGUCAUGCACUCGGCACAGUGUUAGGCUUGUAGUGAAUGGUCAAUAAAUGGUAUUAUUAUUAGCAUUAUCAGAGGCUUGUGGAUGCCAGACUAAGGUGUCCUGUAGACCCGAGAUCCGUUGUUUUAAGCAGGUGGAUGACUGUAUUAAUUUCCUAGGAUUGCUGAAACAAAUUACCACAAAUUUGCUGCCUUAAAACAAAUUUAUUCUCUCGCAGUUCUAGAGGCUGAAACUGAAAUCAAGGUGUCGACAGGGCCGUGCUCCCUUUGAAGGUUCUAGGGAAGAAUCCUUCCUUGAUUCUUCACAGCUUCUGGUGGCUCCCAGCAGUCCUUGGCUUCCUUGGCUGGUAGCUGUGUCACUGCGCUCUCUGCCUGCGUCUUCACGUGGCCUUUUUCUCUCUGCGUACGUGUGUAAGGAUCAGCUCACCCAUGGGCGCUGGCUUGAGAGGGAUGAAGUGGCUUCUAAAGUCUUCACCAGGGACCCAAAACAGCAAGUGUUCAGGAAACGAGUGACGGUGACAGAGAUGACUGAGGUCAGUCCACAAGUACUUAUUUGAGUAUUUACCAAGAGUUGGGCAACGGGUCAGGCUCUGAGAACAGCGAGGAGACUAAACCCAGCCUCCCACUAAAGGAGCUCCUGCUCUGGCUAAAAGUUUCUGCAAAGGCCUGGACAGUUCCUACUCCUUUCCAAGC
This 848-nucleotide long non-coding RNA is filed under the name Equus caballus (horse). Its description in RNAcentral is "lncRNA (ENSECAG00000048062.1)". Lineage: Eukaryota; Metazoa; Chordata; Mammalia; Perissodactyla; Equidae. The record is from RNAcentral.